CCAGCAGGCCACCAGCACAGGGGAUGCCCGCCGGCAAUGUGGACUCCUCACAGGUGACAUCGCCUGGGUGCUCUGACCCCACGGAAAAAGGAACCGUCAGCGUGGGGCGGCAGAGAUGCUGGUCUCCCUUCUAGGAUGUCACUGCUCGGAACAAGUGGGGUCUGCUUUGCCCACAGGCUGGCCCAGGGCUCAGCUUAGAGCAGGUGCAGGCAGAUGACCUGGGACCAGGCUAGUCUGUGCCUGGGGACAUGCUUAGAACCGGCCGUGUCAUCAACUGCUCAGGAGUGGCCCCGGCGUCCAGCUCGCUGCCAAUCUCCCCUGGCCUUCCGCCACUUUCAGGGAGGAGAGAGGAAGAUGAACAGUCUAACAGCAUGCUGUGUGACUUGCAGGCCAAGUUGUUUGGAGGGCAGCCUCUUUCCCCCAAGCCUGGCCACCAGGGCUGGUCACACCUGGGGCAUGUGUGCAGUGAGGAGCCACUGGUGGGUGCUGCAGAUGGGUGCUGGGGCGUCUCCUGUGUGAGUCUGGGGGACCCUCUGUCUGGAAGCAUCUGCUGGAAGGCCACAGGACCAGAGACGCCCAGGGUGGAGACGUCCGCCACCUAGUGAGGCCUGGGCAGUGUGCACCUGGCAGGACACUGGGGAUGGUCUGGACUUUCAUCUCUCUUAGCCACAUGUUCCAGGGUCACCUGCUUGUCCUGUGGCAGCAUUGUCCGCAGAACAUGGGGAAGUGUAUUUGACCAAGGCCCAUCCACCCAGAGACAGGUGUCAGCCAAGGGCCCCUCAGUUCAGCCAGAGUCAGCAAAACACAAGUUGCUGCCACACUGUACUGGAACCCUGACAGCAACUCUGGGCCAGAGCAGCCCCCAUGGCCACCAGCUGGUAGAUGCAUGAAACAUCUGGUCCACGUGUGCAAGAGUGGUGUGCCGCCGUGCGAGGAGUGAGCCACAUCACACCUGCAGUGUGGACAAACCUCGGAGGCAGCAGUCCCGAGAGACACGCCAGACACAAAGGCUCCUUCUCUGUGGUGUCCAACGACAGAGACAGAAGCAGAGGGGCAGCUGCCCCAGGACUGGCAAGGAGUGACUACUAGU
This is a long non-coding RNA of Canis lupus familiaris (dog), 1090 nucleotides long. RefSeq lists it as uncharacterized. The record is from RefSeq and is a predicted model, not a curated record. The transcript is spliced from 9 exons. NCBI's taxonomy places the organism in Eukaryota, Metazoa, Chordata, Mammalia, Carnivora, Canidae.